Non-coding RNA from Quaeritorhiza haematococci, 79 nucleotides. NCBI's taxonomy places the organism in Eukaryota, Fungi, Chytridiomycota, Chytridiomycetes, Quaeritorhizaceae. The record is from the annotation of a GenBank genome assembly.
ACAGAUGUGUCCGAAUGGUGAGGAAGCUGAUUGUAAAUCAGUGCUUUAUGCAAUGUAGGUUCGAUUCCUACCAUCCAUA